This 330-nucleotide ribosomal RNA is filed under the name uncultured bacterium. Its description in RNAcentral is "bacterial SSU rRNA". It matches the Rfam family "Bacterial small subunit ribosomal RNA", at positions 30 to 363 of the family's 1533-position model. The record is from RNAcentral.
AUUGAACGCUGGCGGCAUGCUUUACACAUGCAAGUCGAACGGUAACAGGUCUUCGGAUGCUGACGAGUGGCGAACGGGUGAGUAAUGCAUCGGAACGUGCCCAGUCGUGGGGGAUAACGCAGCGAAAGCUGUGCUAAUACCGCAUACGAUCUAUGGAUGAAAGCGGGGGAUCGCAAGACCUCGCGCGAUUGGAGCGGCCGAUGUCAGAUUAGCUAGUGGUGGGGUAAUGGCUCACCAAGCCGACGAUCCGUAGCUGGUCUGAGAGGAUGACCAGCCAGACUGGAACUGAGACACGGUCCAGACUCCUACGGGAGGCAGCAGUGAGGAAUC